Long non-coding RNA from Labeo rohita (rohu), 951 nucleotides. RefSeq lists it as uncharacterized. The transcript is spliced from 3 exons. Lineage: Eukaryota; Metazoa; Chordata; Actinopteri; Cypriniformes; Cyprinidae. The record is from RefSeq and is a predicted model, not a curated record.
CGGUGCUCGUACACCGCCGCCACAUAGGACGGAUGAUCGGCGGCGACGAUGAGCUGCAGGCCGCUCAAACAGAGCACGAAGCCGGCCAACACGAGCGCCAUGACGAGGGGGAGGCUGAACGCGGACUCAUGUGAGACAGUCUGCGUAAAAGGAUACUGAUUAACGCAUGAUAUUCAAAUAAAGCCAAAGUUCACCUCUGCCAUUCACACUGACAGACCUUAGAGAAACGGCAGACUCUCAGAACAGAGAACGAACGUACAUCACAAACGUGAACGACCUGAAUAUGGCUACUAAAACUCAAAUACUACUACUGGUAGUGGCUGUAAUGGUUGCAAGCUAUGGUCUUACCAGCGCAUCCAACAGCACCAAUUCCACUGCGGCAUCUUUUUCACCUAUGGGCAUCACGGGGCUGUCUGGACUUCUGAUCUACGCAAUCACCUCCACUGCGGUUCUCAAACUCUUCCAGCUGAUCUGAUCAUCAACUCUCUGUUUGUCAACCAGCAUACGGGUUGUUAUUGGAUGUUUAAUCUUUUUUUUAGUAGGCGUUUGAUUGUUGUAAUGAUAAAAUUAUUUGCUUUUACAUUCUAUGAUUUAAUUAAGUAUAAGCUUUUCAUUAAACUCACAAAGCCUCUGCAGUUCCUUCACAAAGUUUGGAAAACCUUGACUUAAUGCUUAAUGUUCAUAACAAGGAAAUUAAUAUUUUGCUCUUUGUAUUUUUAUAUCAGCAAGGUACAAGACAAUGCUAUUUAAUAAAUGUGAUAAACAAGUUGGCUCAAAAUUAAUCUAAAAACAUUCAAGUACUUUGAUUGUAUUACUUAAAAUAUGUAAUGUAAUGGAUUAUGUCACUAAUUACAAUUUUUGUCAUGUAAUUUGGAAACAGACUACAAUUUGUAUCUACCCAGCACGGUGUGUCAGCUACUGGCUUAUGUUCAAAUAAAUGUUAUAAAUCAA